AGUAGUUUGAUCCUGGCUCAGGAUGAACGCUGGCGCGUGCCUAACACAUGCAAGUCGAACGCUCGCAAGAGAGUGGCGCACGGGUGAGUAACACGUAGCUAAUCUGCCCUCAAGACAAGGAUAACUCAGAGAAAUUUGUGCUAAUACCGUAUAAUGACUUCGGUCCAAAGAUUUAUCGCCCAAGGAUGAGCCCGCGUAAGAUUAGCUAGUUGGUGGGUAAAAGCCUACCAAGGCGACGAUCUUUAGCUGGUCUGAGAGGAUGAUCAGCCACACUGGGACUGAGACACGGCCCAGACUCCUACGGGAGGCAGCAGUGGGGAAUAUUGGACAAUGGGCGAAAGCCUGAUCCAGCAAUGCCGCGUGAGUGAUGAAGGCCUUAGGGUUGUAAAGCUCUUUUACCCGAGAUGAUAAUGACAGUAUCGGGAGAAUAAGCUCCGGCUAACUCCGUG
Molecule: ribosomal RNA, 449 nt
Filed under: uncultured bacterium
Lineage: Bacteria
Description: bacterial SSU rRNA
Rfam family: Bacterial small subunit ribosomal RNA
Source: RNAcentral